This 429-nucleotide ribosomal RNA is filed under the name Gemmatimonadota bacterium. Its description in RNAcentral is "Gemmatimonadetes bacterium partial 16S ribosomal RNA". It matches the Rfam family "Bacterial small subunit ribosomal RNA", at positions 355 to 776 of the family's 1533-position model. The record is from RNAcentral. Lineage: Bacteria; Pseudomonadati; Gemmatimonadota.
UAGGGAAUCUUCGGCAAUGGACGAAAGUCUGACCGAGCAACGCCGCGUGAGUGAAGAAGGUUUUCGGAUCGUAAAACUCUGUUGUUAGAGAAGAACAAGGACGUUAGUAACUGAACGUCCCCUGACGGUAUCUAACCAGAAAGCCACGGCUAACUACGUGCCAGCAGCCGCGGUAAUACGUAGGUGGCAAGCGUUGUCCGGAUUUAUUGGGCGUAAAGCGAGCGCAGGCGGUUUCUUAAGUCUGAUGUGAAAGCCCCCGGCUCAACCGGGGAGGGUCAUUGGAAACUGGGAGACUUGAGUGCAGAAGAGUGGAGUGGAAUUCCAUGUGUAGCGGUGAAAUGCGUAGAUAUGUGGAGGAACACCAGUGGCGAAGGCGGCUCUCUGGUCUGUAACUGACGCUGAGGCUCGAAAGCGUGGGGAGCAAACAGG